UUUAAACUAUAUUUCAUUGUCAACCAGAGGCGUGCUAUAGACUAUCUUUGAUUCUUGACAUGUGUAGCUCUCAACUCGUCAAUACCUUGGCUUGAAAAUGAUGACGUGUGAUCUUUUUAAAAGAUUUUAUAUGGGUGAAACCUUUUAAACAAUAGUUGCAAUGCGAUUCUAUGAAGGAAAUCGUGGUUGGAAUAACCAACUUCUUGAUUUAUGAAAUGAGAAUGAGAGAGAAAUAUGGUGCUAAUUUGUGCUGUGUCCUCAUGAAACUUCAAUUCUUAGAACUUUAUCCUUCAAUUUAUAAAUUCUAGAGAGUGGGUUGAGAAAAUCAAUUUGAAAUUGGAUAGUCUAUCCUAAGAAAGGUUAAUUGAAUUGAUUCAGUUUUGUUUGGGAUUAUUCAGAUCAUUCUGUUUUUCUAUUUGGUUUCGUUUUUAUUUUUCUAGAAAAGCCUGUUGGUUAACAACCAAAUUUAAGAUCCUUUUUUUUAUGAUUUAUUAAAUAUUGGCAUUUGUAAUUUGUGAUUUAUUAAAUAUAAUUUAGUGCGCUUAAAAUUUUUAACCUUAAAAUGCCUACUUUUGUUGUUGUCACACUUUGUGAUGGUUAUCUUGUUGAAUUUGUAAUUUAUUUUUGGUAUGCUGCAUAAUUAGCCUAGAGAUAAUAAUGUUGUGGUGGCUGGCAGUGAAAUAUGAAUGUAUAAAUUUUAUGGUUAAAAAUGAAUUUGUGCUAAAAUAAGUUCCAUCAUUAAGGGUCUAAUUUUAACUUUACAAAUUGAAUUUAUUCAACCAACCAAGAAACUGUUGAGCAAAUUAUUUGAACAAAAAUAUAUCUGGUUAGCCAAUUUUGCACUUAACUGUUUUUUCCAGUUCAAUUGUGUCUCCAGAAAAUCUCGAACUUACAGUUUGAGUUUGAUUCAGAAUGGUCUUACAAUUCAGCUUACCAAACUGUGCGGACCUCACAAGGGGAUGCAGAGAAUCACCAAAAAAAAGAGAGAGAGAGGAUGGGGAGAGUUUGGGUUUAAUUCUGUUGACCAAACCAAGCUGAUCCUGGAAAAGGAGAGAAAAAGGAAAAAAUGGAUUGGGGGGGGCGGGGGUGGUGAGGAGAGUGUGUUUGUUGAGGUUGAGAUGUGUGCUGAGAGAAGAUAAGGAAGAAUAUUGACUUUCCUCGCAUAUUUUUGUUUAGUUUUGGUAGCUGAUUUAGUAGUGCAAUGGUUUACCUGAGAAUGUGGAUCGUGUUAUUGUAGCAGUUUUUAUUCUUUGCCUGUUUGAUUAACUGGGGGUUUUUGUUUUCAGCUACCUCCUCCGCAGCUGG
This 1305-nucleotide unclassified non-coding RNA is filed under the name Hevea brasiliensis (rubber tree). Lineage: Eukaryota; Viridiplantae; Streptophyta; Magnoliopsida; Malpighiales; Euphorbiaceae. The record is from RNAcentral.